Molecule: long non-coding RNA, 2689 nt
Organism: Cavia porcellus (domestic guinea pig)
Lineage: Eukaryota; Metazoa; Chordata; Mammalia; Rodentia; Caviidae
Exons: 3
Source: RefSeq, a predicted model, not a curated record
GGUCACGUUGGCACAGAAGAACGGCGCGAACUUGCCUCCGCAGCGCGUGCCCUGGCACUCGUCGCACAUCUGGUCGUCCAGCACGUACGGCUUCACUUCCACCUGGCGGGGAGACGAGAGGCUGCCGCAGAUGCAUGGUGAUCGCUACGAGAGUGAUGGCAGUGUCAGGUUUAUCGCCAAGAGGCACAGUGUUUAAUCACAGGAAGAGAAAACCAUCUUUGCACAUGGGGCGGCCUAAAGGAGCCUUCAUCAUUCAGAGAUACCUGUGACACAGCUGUACAUGUCUGCAGCAUCCAGGAUUUGAAGCACAAACCCCAGCACGAGAUGAAGCUGCCCGAAGCACACUGUGUUGUGUGAUUCAGAAACAUUCUCUUUAAUAGUACUCAGGAAUGAGUUACCUAGGUAGUAAGAAUAACUUGGUACUUAAUUCCUUUGAAAUAUUUAACUCAGUAUUCUACUCAGAGAGAUGACUGCAGAAGAUAGCAAUCUAGAGAUGCGAGAAAUUAGCUGAUGACAACAAAAGCAAGCUGUUAACACAUUUCCUGAUAGCUAAGGUGACACAAUGGGCUAAGUCCAGCACAACUCAACAGAGCUCACAGGCAGCAACUGACAGCCUCCCCACAGUGGGUGACCAAUGUGCUGGGCAAGAGAGUUGAGAAUAGAAGACUCUAUCAAGAUAAGUGUAGCCUUCUGGGAAAAACUCCCUCCUGAAGUUCCGCAGACAGGAGCUAUGCUGGUAAGAGUGUCACUUUUUUGGAUCUGGGGCAUCCCCCAAAACCCCUUGUGUUUGGGAGGCGACUAGUUCAUGCUAGUGCUCCACCACCCAUCAGUGGACUCAUCCAGUGAUGAGCUCGCAGGGCUGUGUGUACCUUCUUCCCUGGCCCCUCUGUGUUCUGCUUCCUGGCACCAUGAUGUGAGUAGCCUUCUGCCACGCCCUUCCUAAUGUGGAGCUGACAACCCCUGUCAGGUCAUCAGAUUCCUAACUCCUGUUUCUUCUGAGUGUUAAAUCCUCUAAAAGCCACGAAAUAAAACAGAACAGAACAGAACAGAAUUGUUUAAUUAGAGGAUGUUGGCUCUUAUGUCUUGGUGAUAAGGAAAUUAACUUUUAAAAAGUCUAUAUUAUUUGGGAAUGGGGCUAGAAGUAUUUGGGGCAUAAAUUAUCCCCAAUCAAGUACUGAUAGCAGAAAAAUAUACCAUAUGGGCAGGAAAAUUGUUAAAAAUCUAUAAGAUGUGUAACAGUUGGGGCUGGGGAUUUAGCUCAGCGGCAUAAGCACCUGCCUUGCAAGCAGGUGGUCGUGAGUUCCAUCCCCAGUACCGAUAAAAAGGAAAAAGACAAAAAAAAAAAAAAAAAAAAAAAAAAUGUGUAACUGUUGUUGCAUCACCCCUGGCUUCCCCCCAAGGUACACAAAAGCAAAGCACCUCAACUAGGUCACAACUCAUUUGUUUUCCCAACUGGAUAAGGGGUUUGAACUAGCGUUUCCAAGUAAAAAUAAGGAGUGACCAAAAACUGGUAACUGACUGAUAUCACCUGAACCCACGGUGAAAGACCUGUGUUCCGCUGUAACUACACAGAAAAACAGUGACAGUCUUUUUCCUAUUAUUUAUCUCAUAAAUUACCUCUAUGCACAAUAUGAGAAAGAAAAAAGGAAUAUUUUAUACAAUCUAAAGAGAUUUUCAUAUUAAAAAUACCUACAAUUCCAACAGAGCAGAUAUACAAAGAGAACAGAACAGGAGAAAUCAGGGCUCAUAAUCAGGAAGGGAAGCCUUAACAAAUGUUCUCUUCUAUUCAAAGAAGAUUUUUUCCUCUUCUCUUUAGAUGACCCAAAUUCCUUUUAAAAAAAUUAUUUUUAGUCAAAGGCUCUAAAACUCCCAGCAUUUCAAAAUAAGCCAAGGUAGGAUUAGUUCAGGCAAUAUUUUAACUCAGUUUUGGAUUCCUCUCAAGAGGACAAGUCAAACAGCUUUAGCAAAAGCAAGACAGUUUUCAGAGCAGAUCAGGCAGCGAGUACAACCGCAGUAAGAUAAAGGCUGAGCUGUAGGAGUCCCAGGCUCAGGUUAGGAACAAAAAUAGCCCAGGAACCAGUCAUCAGAGGCUGACUCCUUUUGCUAUGAGUCAUCUUGUAUAUCCCAGCUGCAGCCAGAGACAAAACGUAAUAUUAUCAACACUCUGUGAGUAUGGUUGCUGGGUCAUGUUAAUCUUCAUGCAGGUUAAAAAUAUCAUACCUUUGGUAGACUUUAGCAAAUUUGAGAUGUUUCCAGUAGAGUCACAAUUUUUUUUUUAAAGAUGCGAAGUACUUAUGGUGCUUGCAAAGAAAGUGCAAUGGAAAACAUCUCAUUAAAUUGAAAAUGGGUUAUUUUAAAUAGCAUGGUAUUCAAAGCAAACAUUACAUGCUUUGGCUUAGCUAUCACAAUGCUCCUUAAAUAAAAGUAUAGAGACUCUCAACUUGGCUAACAAAGUCUCUCCAGUUCUCAAUAUUAAACUAAAAUAGUUGAAGGAAGAGUAUUUGGCAAUGGUAUUUUAAACCUAUUUUUCUUCCUUAUACAGAGACAUUUUAUAUGACAUUUUAGAAAGAUGAACACAUAGUCUCAAGUAAUCAAAAGACAAAGAAUUAGAAAAAUUAAUUCUGGACUUGAGGAUAUAGCUCAGUGAUACCAUGAUUUCUAGCAUAGAAAAUCCUGGGCCCCAGGAAGG